CAGUAGCCGCGGGAAUACGGAGGGAGCUAGCGUUGUUCGGAAUUACUGGGCGUAAAGCGCACGUAGGCGGUUAUUCAAGUCAGAGGUGAAAGCCCGGGGCUCAACCCCGGAACUGCCUUUGAAACUAGAUGACUGGAAUCUUGGAGAGGUCAGUGGAAUUCCGAGUGUAGAGGUGAAAUUCGUAGAUAUUCGGAAGAACACCAGUGGCAAAGGCGACUGACUGGACAAGUAUUGACGCUGAGGUGCGAAAGCGUGGGGAGCAAACAGGAUUAGAGACCCGCGUAGUCCCUGUCUCUUAUAC
This 301-nucleotide ribosomal RNA is filed under the name uncultured bacterium. RNAcentral describes it as "partial 16S ribosomal RNA". It matches the Rfam family "Bacterial small subunit ribosomal RNA", at positions 509 to 807 of the family's 1533-position model. The record is from RNAcentral.